CGACAAUACCGAGACGAUGCACUCGCCUGAUCCGUGAUCUCAUUUCUGUUCAUCGGUCUGAUUUAUUUCUCAUUUAUCUGGUGGUUCUGUAGCAGAAAUUACAUUCUGCGCCACAAUACCAUUCAGUUUCUAUGUUCAGAUUCGUAUCUCAGCGCAGAAAGAUUCAUGCCUUCGUGCUAAAACUGGGUUACAGCACAGCUUCUGCUUAUAUCUCAGCACUGAAACUAGGUUAUAGCAUAGCGCCGGUUAAAGCUGCAUCAUAACCAAGACCAGGACCGGUUUCUUUAUUCGAGAUUUCUUUGAGAUCCCGCCCCUUGAAGCAAAAAUCCACCUUCAAAGACUUGCAUAUAAUUCUUUGUAAUUGACAGUUCUAGUUUAAAUGUCUUUCACUGACAAAUAUUUGGCUAUAUUUAACGUUUUAACAUCAUUACAAUGGAUGCUAAUCAACCACAUGUUCCAUAUUUGCUAAUCAUGCGCUAAAACGUCAAGCCUUUAUUCAGUUAAGAGUAAAAUGCAACCACUCUCAGCAUAGAACCCUUGAGUUUAGAUUUACAAUGCCUAAACGGCACCAGGCUAGAACUAGUUUGUUAAUCCUUAACAAACUUCGCCAGCUUCAUUUCUUUUUACUGGGCAAAUAAACAAUUACUGCUGUGAUUAAGACUAAAACAACCGCAUAAGUAAUUAACGGCAAAUUUUAAAACGACUGAACAGUGACGUUACAGCUUUUUCUCGUUAUAUAUUUGAUUACAUUCAAUUUCAUUCAGCUCGUUGGUAAGACAUUGAUCCACACUACUCUGUCUACCAUUUACAGAGCUGUUAAACGAAAUAUGGCUCUGAAGUUGGCUAUUAUUUUUGCUAUAUUAGCAGUAAACCGUGCAUAAGUGCUUCAUUUAAACAGAUUUAAUAACAGAUUUCCGUCGUUAUAGCUUCGCUUUAGGGAUGUGUAACUGGGUGUGAUAGAACAGAAAGCCAGAGGUAGUAGGAAUCUAGUAUGAAUUUAUUUUAUUGGGGAGUCUUAAAAAAGGCAUCUGGUUUACACCCAGACAUUCUCAUAAAACCGGCAGACAGUACCAAACACUACCGGUCACAAAAGCAGGUCACAAAAUCACUAAGAACAAGGAGGACCUUUAGACUAUAGAACUCCGAAGACAAACAUAAGGGAGCAGUUUAGGAGUGCUGUGCAAAUCUAACCAAGACUUCGCCAACAAAUUAAGAUAUGCAUGCAAAGUUUCAGUGAGAUUUACUGAGUGGGUGGACCAGGAACUGUGGGAUAAUGAAGAACAUUAUGGAGAACUCUAAAAAGGAGAUGUUAUUAAUGUUAAUCAUAUAUGGUAGUCUCAGUGACCUGAUGAUAGAGACCAGUGGUGAAGGGGUGUGUGAUUAUGGUCAACAAAGCAGAAACCACUGUGGGAAGAAAUGAAGUGGCCUAGGACACCAAAAGACCAACAUCAUUCAUUAAUUGUGAGUCAGCAAAGAUGUCAAAUGGAGAAGCUUGAGCUAGAGGAGCAACAAAGGCAGAGGUUGGAGGAGAUGUCGAGCAAAUGCUAAUGAACAAGGUUGACUAUAAGCAACCAGGUAGACAAACAGCUAGCAGAGUGGCCAUCCGGAGCGAGUAGGAAGGUAAACUGCAACAUGACAGUGGCCAGUGUCAAAGGGUCUACUGUGUCGGGGGUCAGCAAAGAAGUAAUUAGCAUGGGAGAAGACGAAGUAGUAGAAGUAUGAGAAGCUGAAGAAACUGGAGCAGCCUCAGAUACAAAUGGACUAGCAUAUGGGAGAAUGGAGAGGAUGGAGCUUGAGGAAAAUUCAAAACCAGAAGCAGGGGUUCACUGUCUCAGCAAGGGGCAGUGAACAAGGCUGUGGCUGUGAUUGAAUUCAGUGAAGAAGGAAGGUUCUGGUUCAGUGAUCUAUUUCCGCAAAUGUAGGAGGAUAACGGAGUCCAGGGAUGAGGGAUCACCCUAACCAGAGCAGCUAAAAAAAACUGGACCAGCAGGGAAGACCAAUGGACCAGCAAAGGCUGAAGAUGAAUAUAAUGGUAACGACGACGAAAAAGAUGUGGAAGUGGAACCAAGUGGAAACGUGGUUCUGUGGAAGCCAGGAGUGGAAAUCCUGUUCUCUAUAGGCAAUAUGUCUAUGACAGGGACUUGGACAAGGAGUCAUUAAUCGUGGUCCAGACUGGGAACAAAAAGUAUACUGGCAGGAUAACUGAUAAAGUGCUGUGAAAAAGUAUUUGCCCCAUUCU
Long non-coding RNA from Ictalurus punctatus (channel catfish), 2239 nucleotides. The record is from Ensembl. NCBI's taxonomy places the organism in Eukaryota, Metazoa, Chordata, Actinopteri, Siluriformes, Ictaluridae.